AUGUUUUGGGACUCACUUCAGAUGCAAAAUCCAAACUGCAAGGUUAUGGUUGACAACUGCUACGGUGAAUUCGUUGAGACAUCGGAGCCUCCAAUGGUGGGAGCAGAUCUGAUUGCCGGCAGCUUGAUAAAGAACCCUGGUGGUACCAUCGCACCUUGUGGUGGCUACGUUGCUGGGAAGAAAGAUUUGGUUGCCGCAGCUGCAGCUCGCCUAUCCGCACCCGGACUUGGGGUGGAGUUUGGGUCAGCACCUGGACAUGUUAUGCGAGCGAUGUUUCAGGGCUUGUUUCUUGCUCCGCAAAUGGUUGGAGAGGCAGUAAAAGGGGGUUUGCUAAUUGCAGAGGUCAUGUCAGCCAAGGGCUAUAGAGUUCAACCACUUCCGAGGGCACCACGCCAUGAUAUUGUGCAGGCAGUAGAGCUUGGCAACAGGGAGAGACUCAUAGCAUUCUGUGAAGUUGUUCAACAGACUUGCCCAGUAGUAUCGUUUAUUAAGCCAACCGCUGGGGAAACUCCGGGUUAUGCUUCAGAGGUCAUCUUUGCUGACGGGACAUUCAUGGAUGGAAGCACAAGCGAGCUAUCAUGUGAUGGGCCCUUAAGAGAUCCAUAUGCUGUCUUUUGUCAGGGAGGAACGCAUUGGACACAGUGGGCUCUUGUCCUGGGUGAAGUUCUGAAUGUCAUGUAG
Molecule: ribosomal RNA, 681 nt
Filed under: Triticum aestivum (bread wheat)
Lineage: Eukaryota; Viridiplantae; Streptophyta; Magnoliopsida; Poales; Poaceae
Description: partial small subunit ribosomal RNA
Source: RNAcentral